UCUGUGCUAAGGUAGCAUAAUAAUUUGCUUUUUAAUUUUAAGAUAGUAUGAAAGGAUGAACGACUUAAUAAUUUUUUCACUUUCAAAUAAUAAACUUAAUUAAUAUGUAAAAAAGCAUAUAUAAAAAAGAAAGACGACAAGACCCUAUAGAACUUAAACUAUAAAGUUUUGCUGGGGCAGCAAUAAAUAAUAAUUUUACAUUAUACUAUUCCCCAUAAAGACCUAAUAAAUUUUAAAAUACAAAACAAGUUACCUUAGGGAUAACAGCGCAAUAUUACUUAAAAGAACUUAUUACAAGUAAAGAUUUCGACCUCGAUGUUGAAUUAAUUUAACUCCAUUAAGUAAAAAUAAUAAGAGUAAGUCCGUUCGACUUUUAAAAAAUUACAUGAUUUGAGUUCAGACCGGCGUAAGCCAGGUCAGAUUCUAUCUUCUUCAAAUCAAUUACAGUACGAAAGGACCUAAUUAUAAAUAUAA
This 474-nucleotide ribosomal RNA is filed under the name Loxosceles caribbaea. RNAcentral's name for it is "partial 16S ribosomal RNA". The stretch from base 128 to 432 matches the Rfam family "Bacterial large subunit ribosomal RNA", at positions 2074 to 2646 of the family's 2925-position model. Lineage: Eukaryota; Metazoa; Arthropoda; Arachnida; Araneae; Sicariidae. The record is from RNAcentral.